Molecule: ribosomal RNA, 485 nt
Filed under: uncultured bacterium
Lineage: Bacteria
Description: partial 16S ribosomal RNA
Rfam family: Bacterial small subunit ribosomal RNA
Source: RNAcentral
AUUGAACGCUGGCGGCAUGCCUUACACAUGCAAGUCGAACGGCAGCACGGGUGCUUGCACCUGGUGGCGAGUGGCGAACGGGUGAGUAAUACAUCGGAACAUGUCCUGUAGUGGGGAUAGCCCGGCGAAAGCCGGAUUAAUACCGCAUACGAUCUACGGAUGAAAGCGGGGGACCUUCGGGCCUCGCGCCAUAGGGUUGGCCGAUGGCUGAUUAGCUAGUUGGUGGGGUAAAGGCCUACCAAGGCGACGAUCAGUAGCUGGUCUGAGAGGACGACCAGCCACACUGGGACUGAGACACGGCCCAGACUCCUACGGGAGGCAGCAGUGGGGAAUUUUGGACAAUGGGCGAAAGCCUGAUCCAGCAAUGCCGCGUGUGUGAAGAAGGCCUUCGGGUUGUAAAGCACUUUUGUCCGGAAAGAAAUCCUUGGCCCUAAUACGGUCGGGGGAUGACGGUACCGGAAGAAUAAGCACCGGCUAACUACGUG